Non-coding RNA from Salmo salar (Atlantic salmon), 2962 nucleotides. NCBI's taxonomy places the organism in Eukaryota, Metazoa, Chordata, Actinopteri, Salmoniformes, Salmonidae. The record is from RefSeq and is a predicted model, not a curated record.
CCCAUGCAGAGCAAGGGGAACAACUACUCCAAGUCUCAGAAUUACUGCCUCAGAAAUUAUGGCAGCAGAAGAUUACACCAUCUUCCAGACUGUCGAGGAACAUGGUCAUCUACUCCACCAACACCAUGACCAGCUGUCUCUACUGGGUAUGACCAUGAAGGAGGUUCUCCAACGCCUCGACACCACUAGCAAGGUUCUCCAUCCCUCUGACUGAGGGCCUCCUUCUAUGGGUCGUCACAAGGAGCCAGUCCCCCAGCCUACCCAGCCGUCCACCCAGGUCAGCGAUGCCCAACUGUCCCUUCUGGAGAAGUAUUACGGCACUCCAUCAAAAUGCCGUCGCUUCCUACUCCAGUGCUCCCUCUAUUUCGCCUAUCAGACGGGAGCCCCCACCAAGAGGUCCAAGGUUGCCAUUGUCAUUUCCCUGCUGACCGGAUGGGCGUCUGAGAGAGAGGAUGAGCUGGAUUCCUGUGAGAGGUUCAGGGCGGUCUUCGAGGGAGGUGAGCGAAUUAAAUGAGCCGGUGCACCACACUCUAUUCCGCAGUGGACUGCGCAAUGCGGUCCAGACAGAACUGGCAUGUCAGGAUGAUGACAAAUCCUUGGACGCUCUCAUCGCAAUGGCCAGCCGUCUGGAUAACCUUCUUCAGGAGCGCCGGUGUCCAACUUGCCACUCACCUCCCUCCUUUGGCUGCCCUGAAGCAGAGCCUGAACCCAUGGAAGUAGGGACCACACACCUCUCCGUGGCAGAGCGGCUUCACCAGAGACAGCUGAGGCUUUGUCCCUAUUGCAGCCAGGUGGGGCAGCAGCUUCAGUGGUGGUCGGUGCAUCCCAACCAGGGGUCCACUAGAGCAGAGGAACAGCCCUGUGACCUUCUGUCUCCCAGGGUAGUCAUGAGAAUUCUGUUAUCAUUCUCCACCAAAACCUUUCUCUGGCUAGCUGUCCCUCAUGUGUCGGUUCUACAGCUUUAGUGGACUCCGGUGCCGUGGGGAACUUCAUCGACCAGGCCCUUGCCGCCUUACCUCCUCCCUGAACUUAACUUCAUGCCCGCUCUCCUCUCCUUUUCCUGUCCUGGAUAUGCAACCAUUGGAAUCCGUCACAGCACCCCUCACUGUGGGACCCAAGCACCAGGAAAUCCUUCCCUUCCUCAUCACUGCACCCGUACACAGUCGGCCUCCCAUGGCUCCAACUUCAUAACCCCACCAUCUCCUGGUCACACCCUGUGGUUCCACGGCAGUGAGUGUCCUCCAGCCCAUCAAUCGGUCCUCCCGUAUCGUUGGCCCCGUGUUUUGGGGCGGUGAAGUGGAUAUCCGCCAGGCUCGGGAACACCCUCCUGCCACCUGCCCUCCAGAGCGCAUCUACGUCCCCAUUGGGAAGGUUGUGGCGCAGACUCUGAAGAUAUCCCAUAUUUAUCGGAGUCACGUCUGUCCCCGGCAUUUUACUGCAUCUUUCUGGCACAAAGCAUUGUGGACUAAAGCAUCUUUAUAGAUCGCUUUAUUCAGGUAACAUGUUUUAAGUUAAUAAGGGGUAGGUCUAUGCUUUUAGCCAUUUUCUUUAACAAAAGCCACAAUACCCUCACACACGUAGCCAGGUGGUAAAAGCACAUAGCUGUAUUCAUGUAUAACCACUAGGUGGCACUGUCCCUUUAAGAGAUUCAUAAAUUAGGUGUGCAAGUGGUUAUGGGAUUGCGCAUGCGUAGUGUGAGAGCAUGCAGUUAAUUCAUUGUGGGUCCAACGUUACUUUAGAUGGGUAAGUAAUACUUUUUAUCUUGUACUGGAAGAUAUAAUUUUGCAUAACCUGCAAUGUAUAAGAGUUUAUGUAAUUUAUGCCAGAUGGUCAUGUUAUCCUUUGGAUACUUUCAGAUUGACAUGAGGAUGUUAGCUUCUUGCUAGCUGAAUACCAGUGCUCUCAGAACCACAUUGUGGAGUUGACGAUAACAUUAUUUGAAGCGCUAGUAAUUUUCAGAAUUACAUUUUGUUUUGUAAAGCCUCAGUGUGUUCUAUAUUGUUUCAUUUUUGAAUUGCAGCUUAUCUGUUAUGACAUUUCACCCAGUGCUGUAUGGGUGAGAUGAGGAUCUACUAUUCCAUGUGGGGUUAGGGUAUCAUGUUGACAGUGUGUUUUGUAAGUAUUCCUAAUGUUUCAUGGCAACCUGUUUUUGAUGCACAAUGUCAUUUUGUUUAUGGACAUCUUGUACCCAGAUAUUUGAAAUGUUAGAAAGUCCAUUCUAACUGGGAACGUUGUGGUCGCUGUAUUUUCUUGUUUUUCUAUAGAAAGCAGACCCACUACCGUUUAUGUAUUUCACUUUGUACUUAUUGUACUCUGUUUUUAUGCACUUUAGUAACAGAUUUAUUUCACUUGAUUGUGAUUUAGAUUCAGCCUUACUUUAUGCUGACUUCACCUUCCGGUGAUUUCCGUUUUCCAUUCUACAUUAUCAGAUUUUAAAUUUAAGCUUUGACAGAAUAAACAACCCAACAUUAGUUUGUGUCCUGUGCUGGGUUUACUUUCGCCAGGCUACACACACCCUAAAUUCGAGCCAUGGUUUUAACUUAACACACCAAGCCCUUCACUCACUGACACUGAUAUAUUUAAGGAGUGCAUAGUGACUGAAGGAAUUGGCUGACAAAAAUCUAUGGAUAGUAGACUAUAAUUCAGUCUAUCAAACAGGUAGGCCUACCUCUUCUUGAGUAGGCUCCAACACAAAGCCCUCUUGCAGUGGUGUAAGUUGUUUUGGGGGGUAUCUGUACUUUACUAUUUAUAUUUUUGCCAACUUUACUCUACUACAUUUGUAAAGAGAAUUAGCUUUUUACUCCACACAUUUUCCCUGACACCUAAAUGUACUUGUUACAUUUCGAAUGCUCAAGCAGGACAGAAUUGACACUUAUCAAUAUAACGCUUUGUCAUCCCUACUGCCUCUUACCUAGUGGACUCACAAAACACAAAUACUGUGUUUGUAAAUUGUUGGAGUGUG